GAUGAUGGCUUAGAGUCAACAUCCCCAUUCAUAUCCCAAUCAAGCCAUGUGAUCAAAUGGUUGUUUUUCUUCUGUGUUUUUACUCCCACAGUUUUUUCUCUGCAUGUAGAUGAUGUUCUUUCUCAUAAGUCCCUCAGAAUUGUCAUUGCAUUGCUUCUAGUAGAGAAGUUCAUUACAUUCUAUUGUGCUACGGGGUAUCUAUCAGUUUUGGUGUACAAUGUCUCCUGGUUCUGUUCUUUUUACUUUGCAUCAAUUCCUGGAGGUUGUUCCAGUUCCCAUAGAAUUCCUCCACUUUAUUAUUCCUUUGAGCAAAAUAGUAUUCCAUCAACAACAUAUACCACAAUUUGUUCAGCCAUUUCCUAAUUGAAGGGCAUCCCCUCAUUUUCCAAUUUUUUGUCACCACAAAGAGCGCAGCGAUGAAUAUUCUUGUACAUGUAUUUUUCCAUAUCUCUUUAGGGUAUAAAGCCAUCAGUGCUAUGGCUGGAUCAAGGGGCAGAUAGUCUUUUAGUGCCAUUUGGGUAUAGUUCCAAAUUGCCCUCCAGAAUGGUUGGAUCAAUUCACAACUCCACCAGCAAUGCAUUGAUGCCCCAACUUUGCUACAUCCCCUACAGCAUUCAUUACUUUCCUUUGCUGUCAUGUUAGCCAAUCUGCUAUGUGUAAGGUGAUACCUCAGAGUUGUUUUUGAUUUGCAUCUCUCUGAUUAUAAGAGAUUUAGAACACUUUUUCAUGUGCUUAUUAGUAGUUUUGAUUUCUGAAAAUUGCCUAUUCAUGUCCCUUGCCCAUUGUUAUAUUUAAAAUGGUUGAAGACUUAAAUUGUAAUAAUUAAAAUGGUUUGAGGUUCAUAAACUGUUGUGAGUAAAAUAGUGGAAGAUAUAAAUUGUAGUAGAUAUAAGAGUGGGUGAGUAAAUUUGUGACUGCAGAAAAUAUGUUUCACUAAAGUGUCUUGGUUUUAAAUCAAAUAUAAGGUGGUCGCCAGGUAAAUAUUCCCAAUUAUGAAUAUACCCAAGUCAACUGGGUUUUAUAGAGAAUUUAAUUAAUAAUACAAUGAGGAAUUAAAGAAAAGAGAGAAAGAGAGAAAAAGGACAUAAGUAUGAAGGGCCUUAAGCCAACAUGGCUGAGACCUGAGUCUUAAGAGAGAGAGAUCAGUCAGUCAGCCUUUUAUCACUCACCACAAUGUCUGUUAAGCAAGGAUUCUAGUGACAGAGUCUCCCCAGAGAGAGUUCCAGUCAGAGUCCUCCUCAAAGAGCCUUCCAGCCAUAGACUGUUUCAAAGGGCCUCUCUCAAGAGCCUCCAGAGGGACAGAGUCCCCUCAGAGGAGCUCCAGCGAGACUUCCUUAGAGAUUGUCCUUCAAGAGCUUCCCUU
Molecule: long non-coding RNA, 1363 nt
Filed under: Monodelphis domestica (gray short-tailed opossum)
Lineage: Eukaryota; Metazoa; Chordata; Mammalia; Didelphimorphia; Didelphidae
Description: lncRNA (ENSMODG00000037291.1)
Source: RNAcentral